Molecule: ribosomal RNA, 433 nt
Filed under: uncultured bacterium
Lineage: Bacteria
Description: partial 16S ribosomal RNA
Rfam family: Bacterial small subunit ribosomal RNA
Source: RNAcentral
AACGAACGCUGGCGGCAUGCCUAACACAUGCAAGUCGAACGAGACCUUCGGGUCUAGUGGCGCACGGGUGGGUAACGCGUGGGAACCUGCCCGUAGGUACGGUAUACCUCCCCGUAAGGGGUGCUAAUACAGGUUAAUCUAUUCGGGGCAAAGAUGUAUUGCCUUAGGAUGGGCCCGGGUUGGUUUAGGUGGUUGGUAGGGUAAAAGCCUGCCAAGGGGACGAUGCAUAGCUGGUCGGAGAGGAUGAUCAGCCGCGCUAGGGCUGAGACACGGCCCAGACUCCUACGGAGCGGAGCAGUGUGGAAUAUUAGACGAGGGGGGAAAGCCUAACACAGCAACGCCGGGUAAGUGAGGAAGGGGUUAGGGUUGUAAAGCUCUCUGACCCGGGAUGAUAAUGACAGUACCGGGUGAAUAAGCACCGGCUAACUCCGUG